GUGUCAGCCGCCGCGGUAAGACAGAGGGUGCAAACGUUGUUCGGAAUUACUGGGCGUAAAGCGCGUGUAGGCGGCUGCGCAAGUCGGAUGUGAAAUCCCAUGGCUCAACCAUGGAAGUGCACCCGAAACUGCGUAGCUUGAGUCUCGGAGAGGAAGGCGGAAUGCUUGGUGUAGAGGUGAAAUUCGUAGAUAUCAAGCGGAACACCGGUGGCGAAGGCGGCCUUCUGGACGAUGACUGACGCUGAGACGCGAAAGCGUGGGGAGCAAACAGGAUUAGAAACCCCUGUAGUCC
Molecule: ribosomal RNA, 292 nt
Filed under: uncultured bacterium
Lineage: Bacteria
Description: partial 16S ribosomal RNA
Rfam family: Bacterial small subunit ribosomal RNA
Source: RNAcentral